GAUGAACGCUGGCGGCGUGCCUAAUACAUGCAAGUCGAGCGAACAGACGAGGAGCUUGCUCCUCUGACGUUAGCGGCGGACGGGUGAGUAACACGUGGAUAACCUACCUAUAAGACUGGGAUAACUUCGGGAAACCGGAGCUAAUACCGGAUAACAUGUUGAACCGCAUGGUUCAACAGUGAAAGACGGUCUUGCUGUCACUUAUAGAUGGAUCCGCGCCGCAUUAGCUAGUUGGUAAGGUAACGGCUUACCAAGGCAACGAUGCGUAGCCGACCUGAGAGGGUGAUCGGCCAAACUGGAACUGAGACACGGUCCAGACUCCUACGGGAGGCAGCAGUAGGGAAUCUUCCGCAAUGGGCGAAAGCCUGACGGAGCAACGCCGCGGGAGUGAAGAAGGUCUUCGGAUCGUAAAACUCUGUUAUUAGGGAAGAACAAAUGUGUAAGUAACUAUGCACGUCUUGACGGUACCUAAUCAGAAAGCCACGGCUAACUACGUG
Molecule: ribosomal RNA, 497 nt
Filed under: uncultured bacterium
Lineage: Bacteria
Description: partial 16S ribosomal RNA
Rfam family: Bacterial small subunit ribosomal RNA
Source: RNAcentral